CCCGCGGAGGCAGGUAGAAGAUUCUGAGGCCCUGGGCGGGAACUAGUAAGCCACAAUCUGGAAGAGUCUUUUAUCACCAUGUGGAGGAGAACUAGAGCACUCAUGUUGAACUAUUACCGAGAAAAGUAAUCAACUUCUUUUGUGUUAAGUCACUGAAAGGUGGUGAUAACUUCUGGAAACACCAGGGACUAAAAAGGAAGGAAACUGCAGAAAGUGGAGGGCCACAGAAGCAGCAGCUCGCAGUCAUGUUCCAAGACUAGCAAUCCAUAAACAUUGCUUGCCCUGGGGGGAAAAUAAAGAUUUCGCCAAUACUGCAUCUCUUCGAUUUUUACCCAUUUCCUUUACUUGGUCCUAUUUUUACUUGGUCAAAGAAACACGUGUAUCAUAUACUCAGAAUUUCCCCUUAAUUAUAAGUUUUUUUAAAAAAGUCAAUAAAAGACAAAAUGGGAAGUGUUGAAGCACUGUCCAGAAACUAUAGUAAUAGCAGUAUAAAAAGAAGGGUAGUGAACUGACCUUAGCAAAUUUGCUCUGCCACUAAUUUGCUAGUCAAGUGACCCUAUUUUCCUGACUCUGUUUCUUUAGUAAAAUGUGGAUGUUAUCAUAGGUGACCGCAGAUCCUGAAGUUCCUUUGUGUGUGUGUGUGGGGGGGGGGUGAGAUUUAAAAAUUUGAUUCAAAUAAAUUUCCAUUCGCU
Molecule: long non-coding RNA, 692 nt
Filed under: Pan troglodytes (chimpanzee)
Lineage: Eukaryota; Metazoa; Chordata; Mammalia; Primates; Hominidae
Description: lincRNA
Source: RNAcentral